Molecule: ribosomal RNA, 161 nt
Filed under: uncultured bacterium
Lineage: Bacteria
Description: partial 16S ribosomal RNA
Rfam family: Bacterial small subunit ribosomal RNA
Source: RNAcentral
UGGGGAAUAUUGGACAAUGGGGGGAACCCUGAUCCAGCCAUGCCGCGUGUGUGAAGAAGGCCUUAUGGUUGUAAAGCACUUUAAGCGAGGAGGAGGCUACUCUAGUUAAUACCUAGGGAUAGUGGACGUUACUCGCAGAAUAAGCACCGGCUAACUCUGUG